UAUAUCUUAAUGUAUAAAGCAUAAAAGUUUUUGAGACUUUCAGUGAUAAAAAAAUUAUCAGAUAUAA
This 67-nucleotide transfer RNA is filed under the name Vespula rufa. RNAcentral's name for it is "tRNA-Gln". The record is from RNAcentral. Lineage: Eukaryota; Metazoa; Arthropoda; Insecta; Hymenoptera; Vespidae.